AGAGUUUGAUCCUGGCUCAGGAUGAACGCUGGCGGCGUGUUUAAGGCAUGCAAGUCGAACGAUUUCUUCGGAAAAAGUGGCAAACGGGAGAGUAACACAUUGGUAAUUUACCUCGAGGUCGUGGACAACCAUGGGAAACCAUGGCUAAUACACGAUGGUCAAGGGGGGUCAUAAGACAUUCCCUUGUAAAGUUCAGGCGCCUCGAGAGAAGCCUAUGUCCUAUCAGCUUGUUGGUGAGGUAAAAGCUCACCAAGGCAACGACGGGUACCGGGCGUGAGAGCGUGACCCGGCUCACUGGGACUGAGACACUGCCCAGACACCUACGGGUGGCUGCAGUCGAGAAUCUUCCACAAUGGGCGAAAGCCUGAUGGAGCGACGCCGCGUGCUAGAUGAAGCCCCUUGGGGUGUAAAUAGCUUUUAUAUGGGACGAAUUCGUGACGGUACCAUAUGAAUAAGAGGGUGCUAACUCUGUGCCAGCAGCAGCGGUAAUACAGAGCCCUCGAGCGUUAUCCGGAAUUAUUGGGCGUAAAGCGUCCGCAGGUUGUUUUAUUCGUCACUCGUUAAAUCUCGGUGCUCAACAUCGAGGCUGCGGGUGAUACGGUAAAACUAGAGGCUGGGAGAGGUAAGCGGAAUUGCUGGUGUAGCGGUAAAAUGCGUUAAUAUCAGCAAGAACACCAAAUGCGAAGGCAGCUUACUGGAACAUGCCUGACACUCAGGGACGAAAGCGUGGGUAGCGAAUGGGAUUAGAUACCCCAGUAGUCCACGCCGUAAACGAUGGAUGCUAGGUAUUGGGAGUUUCGACCCUCUCAGUGCCGUUGAAUCAAGCUAACGCGUUAAGCAUCCCGCCUGGGGAGUACGGCCGCAAGGCUAAAACUCAAAGGAAUAGACGGGGACCCGCACAAGCAGUGGAUCAUGUGGUUUAAUUCGACGCUAAGCGAUAACCUUACCUAGGUUUGACAUCUAGCUGCAAGCUCCUUAAUAGGAGCCGCCUUCGAGGGUGCUAGACAGGUGUUGCAUGGUUGCCGUCAGCUCGUGCCGUGAGGUGUACCCUUCAGUGGGGUAACGAGCGCAACCCACGUCCAGUGUUAUACUUUCACUGGAGACUGCCUGCGCAAGCAGGAGGAAGGUGUGGAUGACGUCAAAUCAGCAUGACCCUUACACCUAGGGCUACACACAUGAUACAAUGGCCGGCACAACGGGUAGCCAAACCGCAAGGUGGAGCCAAUCCCUAAAAGUCGGUCUCAGUUCGGAUCGAAGGCUGCAACUCGCCUUCGUGAAGUCGGAAUUGCUAGUAAUCGCGGAUCAGAUCGCCGCGGUGAAUACGUUCUCGGGUCUUGUACUCACCGCCCGUCAUAUCAUGGAAGUUGGUAAUGCCCGAACGUCGUCGAUUGACGACGGAAGGUAGGACCAAUGACUGGGAUAAAGUCGUAACAAGGCAUCCGUAGCGGAAGCUGUGGAUG
This 1460-nucleotide ribosomal RNA is filed under the name marine metagenome. RNAcentral's name for it is "bacterial SSU rRNA". It matches the Rfam family "Bacterial small subunit ribosomal RNA". The record is from RNAcentral.